UUUUAAAUGGCCGCAGUAUUUUGACUGUGCAAAGGUAGCAUAAUCAUUAGUUUUUUAAUUAAAAGCUUGUAUGAAAGGCUGGACGAGGUAAAAUCUGUCUCUAUUUAAAUUAUAGUAGAAUUUAACUUUUAAGUUAAAAGGCUUAAAUAUUAUUAAAAGACGAGAAGACCCUAUAGAUCUUUAUAGUUUAUUAAAUUAAAUUAAUUUAGAAAUAUUAAUAUUUUAUUUAAUUAAGUUAUUUUAUUGGGGUAAUAAAAAGAUUGAAUUAAUUCUUUUUUAUAAUAAACAUUAAUUUAUGAAUAUUAAUGAUCCAGUUUUACUGAUUAUAAGAUUAAGUUACCUUAGGGAUAACAGCGUAAUUUUUUUAGAGAGUUCAUAUCGAUAAAAAAGUUUGCGACCUCGAUGUUGGAUUAAAGAUUAUUUUAGGUGUAGAAGCUUAAUAAUUUUGGUCUGUUCGACCAUUAAAUCUUUACAUGAUCUGAGUUCAGACCGGCGUAAGCCAGGUCGGUUUCUAUCUUUAAUAAAAUAAAAUAUUUUAGUACGAAAGGACCAAAUAUUUGAUAUAUUUAUAUUUAAUUUAUUGAAUAUUA
Molecule: ribosomal RNA, 590 nt
Filed under: Carabus lusitanicus latus
Lineage: Eukaryota; Metazoa; Arthropoda; Insecta; Coleoptera; Carabidae
Description: partial large subunit ribosomal RNA
Rfam family: Bacterial large subunit ribosomal RNA
Source: RNAcentral